UGGAACUUGAAGUUCUUCCAAGAUCUUGUGGUAUGUCCUCAUAUGUCGAGGACAAGACUUUUCUAUUCUAAUUUUAUGAUAAGGUUCUUGUAAUAGACUUAAUAGACUUCUUUUGAUUGUAAAGGGCCGUGUCCCUACUUAUGUUUUGUGAUUGUGUCUAAGAUGGCCAUGUGAGACUUAGACUUCCGCUGUGUGUUUUUAAAGUUGUUUUAAUGAAGCUUGAAUGUUUGGAUGUAAAUAAGUUUUUAAUUCCGCACUAUUAUCAUUAUUGAAUGCAAUGAA
Molecule: long non-coding RNA, 282 nt
Filed under: Solanum tuberosum (potato)
Lineage: Eukaryota; Viridiplantae; Streptophyta; Magnoliopsida; Solanales; Solanaceae
Description: long non-coding RNA (STUB_LNC008049)
Source: RNAcentral